AGGGUUUGAUCAUGGCUCAGAACGAACGCUGGCGGCAGGCUUAACACAUGCAAGUCGAACGCCCUCUUCGGAGGGAGUGGCAGACGGGUGAGUAACGCGUGGGAACCUACCUUUCGGUACGGAACAACAGUUGGAAACGACUGCUAAUACCGUAUACGUCCUUCGGGAGAAAGAUUUAUCGCCGAUAGAGGGGCCCGCGUUGGAUUAGCUUGUUGGUGAGGUAAUGGCUCACCAAGGCGACGAUCCGUAGCUGGUCUGAGAGGAUGAUCAGCCACACUGGGACUUAGACACGGCCCAGACUCCUACGGGAGGCAGCAGUGGGGAAUAUUGGACAAUGGGCGCAAGCCUGAUCCAGCCAUGCCGCGUGAGUGAUGACGGCCCUAGGGUUGUAAAGCUCUUUCAGUGGUGAAGAUAAUGACGGUAACCACAGAAGAAGCCCCGGCUAACUCCGUGCCAGCAGCCGCGGUAAUACGGAGGGGGCAAGCGUUGUUCGGAAUUACUGGGCGUAAAGCGCGCGUAGGCGGGUCUUUAAGUCAGAGGUGAAAUCCUGGAGCUCAACUCCAGAACUGCCUUUGAUACUGGAGAUCUUGAGUCCGGAAGAGGUUAGUGGAAUUCCCAGUGUAGAGGUGAAAUUCGUAGAUAUUGGGAAGAACACCAGUGGCGAAGGCGGCUAACUGGUCCGGUACUGACGCUGAGGUGCGAAAGCGUGGGGAGCAAACAGGAUUAGAUACCCUG
RNAcentral lists this ribosomal RNA (735 nucleotides) under uncultured bacterium. RNAcentral's name for it is "bacterial SSU rRNA". It matches the Rfam family "Bacterial small subunit ribosomal RNA", at positions 8 to 789 of the family's 1533-position model. The record is from RNAcentral.